This is a non-coding RNA of Biomphalaria pfeifferi, 1013 nucleotides long. The record is from the annotation of a GenBank genome assembly. NCBI's taxonomy places the organism in Eukaryota, Metazoa, Mollusca, Gastropoda, Planorbidae.
UACAUAUAUAUAUAUAUAUAUAUAUCAUCUUUGAUAGAUUCUAAUGUAAGUGGUAAAAAAUGUGAUUAGAUUCAAUGCAUUAUUACAAGUAAAACAUGUGAAAUAUUGAUUGACAUAAUAAAACAAAAGCAUCUGGAUUCAACUGUAAUGAAAUUUUACUUGCUGGAAUUAUUUUGUUACAGAGAUCUUUGUUUUCUAUGCUUUGCUCUAUUCUUGAUUAACAGUAGAUUAGCAUCCAUCUUGUAUGACUCAGCCAUAGCAUUGAUUAACCAAAUAUUAGUUGCCCAUUACUUGAUGGCUGCACAUUAACCAAAUAUCACUUAGAAUCACUUCUCUUAAUUUAUUUCAUUUCAAGCUGAAAAUUAUUUUGAGGAUUUUCAAAAACACUGUCCAUUAUUUUAUUAGUUCCAAAAUUAGGCUGAAUUUCAUAUUAAUCUGGAACCAAUUUCUUUAAUAUAAAACACUUUAGGGUCUAUCAGUUUAUGAAGGGAGAUUACUACUUCAAAUUUAGUUCACUCUUGUGUGUGCAGUUACAUUAAUAGUAAUGUCCCUUGUAAUGUAACACCCUAACACUAAUGUAACUAGAUGUAGCUAAACACUUAAACACUUGGAUCACUUUGGUCUGAAAGUGUUGUCACAUCCCUUUCAUCAAAGGUUUUUUUUUAAAGGACUUUCUGAUAGAAAAACAAAAAUAAAUUCAGAAAUAACUUUUUUAACUCAUUGAAGCCUAGAAAUUGACUGCAGCGAAGAUUGGCUUUAUUUAUUUUGUUGAUUUUCUCAUCAUUGUUUGUUUGUUAUUGUUUUCCUCUGCUUGUGAAUACAAUGAUAAAUAUAUAUAUAUAAAUACUUUUAUCUAUACCUACUUUUCAAACAAUGAACACUGCCCCCCCCCCCCCUACUCCCACUAAAAGAAUGACAGUGAAUUAAACCCAGAAAAUUAACUCAGUUUUUAACAAGUUCUUCUCCUGAAAAUGAUUGUGAUAAUAAAACUAUUAUGAUAAAAAUCUACAAAU